RNAcentral lists this long non-coding RNA (757 nucleotides) under Zonotrichia albicollis (white-throated sparrow). Its description in RNAcentral is "lncRNA (ENSZALG00000011421.1)". Lineage: Eukaryota; Metazoa; Chordata; Aves; Passeriformes; Passerellidae. The record is from RNAcentral.
UUCUCUAAUGAUACCCUUUGUUUCAGAGCUGGGCUGACUCAUUUCAAACAGGUGUGAUGUGAAGAAAAACAUUCAUGUUUUGAUUUGGCUUUGGUUCAGGGAAGUACUGCCUAGAUAAAUUGUCAAAAUGUAACCAGACCAGCAACUCUGAGUGGUUUUUGUCUUGAAGAGUCAUUGGACAGCAUGCUUUCUUCCUGAAAUAGUACUUCAUUCCUAAAUGGAAUGCAUACAUCUUGUGGACACAUUUAAUGGUACUAAUGUGAAUAUGUAUGAUGUUUCAGUCUCUGCCAUCUAUUUCACCUGCUGAGUGUUCAUCUCAAAUUCGGCAUAAUGCUUUUGUCCAGCUUUUUUGUCCAGAUCAGCAACACAGAUUGCUUCAAGAAGUUAACUGAUUUUAUGAGAAGAUGUAACUGAACAAUCCUAUAAAAGUGGAGAGAAUAUUCAUCUUUUCGGAGAACUGUACAGCCAUCAUCCAUAUGUCUUCAGGAUAACUUCUGGCUAUAAAAAUGUUUGUCAGUUUAGAUUAUCUACACAUGAGGCUUGUGUUAGUUGUUUUUUGUGCUAUAUAAUUUAAUUCAAAUUGAUCCUGGUGGAAAUAUUGGCAUCAAAAAUCCCAGUUUUUUGAGAAAUCAUUAUUCUUGGUUACUCUGGUACUAAGCAUACAAAUUUUUACUUUAAAAAUAGAAUUUUAAAAGCUGUUCUUACUAAAAUACUGCUGAUGCUCACAAUAAAGUUUUGCAUGCAGAAUACUGACUCA